Molecule: non-coding RNA, 192 nt
Filed under: Clostridia bacterium
Lineage: Bacteria; Bacillati; Bacillota; Clostridia
Description: 6S RNA
Rfam family: 6S / SsrS RNA
About the family: E. coli 6S RNA was the first non coding RNA to be sequenced, but its function was unknown until recently.
Source: RNAcentral
UUACCCCUGCCUUGUGCGAUAAUUUACAGCCCAUAUUAACCCUACAAUUGUAUUUUACGGGAGCUUAUCUCCCGGCGUGGAUUGCAGACCUCCCGUUUUUAACGGACGAAGGGAGCGUGAACCGUUGGGGAAGCACCCACCUGCUUUUAAACGCAGGUUACUAUCGGCUGUAUCCGGCUUGGCGGGGAUUUU